AAACUGAGAAAAGAAUCCACUUCUCUUGACCUCCUUGUCUGUGUCUUGUCUGCAAGGCUGCCUGUCUUCCUAGCAGCUGACAGAACUACUGACAAGGGCGAAGGCCGUAUUGAUCCUGUAGUUAGACGCUGAAAAAACACCAUUAUUUAGCAUCAGUUGGUUUCAGCAGGAGUCACAUCCCUUGGACAGAAUUUGACACUUAGAAGUAUUAAUUUUUAAGUCUAAUUAUACCUACUGUAAUACCAAUAUCAGAACUUGAUAUGUUGCUGGUUAGUAAAUGACGACAAAUCCAAAAUAUUUUUUUCAAAACAAAUAACUGUAGCUGUGAUACAUAGGGAUGCUUUGACAGAGAAGGUGUAUGUAACUCUUUUCACUCUGCACACCAGGCUCAGGGAUUCAGUAGCUCAUCAGGGAUAUGGGAAAGCAAAAGAUCCUGCUGGGUCUCAGCAGCGCCACACAGGCAGUGGGACAAACCCCUUCUGUGCCACAUGCCCUCAGAACGCAGCUGCCUCAUCAGUCAGCACUGCAAAAGAAAGCAAAAUCAAUUGAAAUCCCUCCAUUUCAGCAAGCUGAGUAUGAACACGAGUAGACAAGUGUGCAGCUUGAUAACGUGCCCCCUUCGUAGAGCCACUGUUUUUUCACCUCCCCACCCAAUUUCCAUUGUAAGAGCCUCUCAGGCCAUCUCCUCUGAUAGGCAGUGCUCCACUCAGGGGAAUUUGGACAGACACUCAGAGCAGCAACAUUUUGGAGCUGAGUAAUCUACAAUAGAAGGAAGAUAAGCGCAUUGUUAGUUUCUGCUCAUACGCAAUCAAAGCAGACAAAGCAUCCAUCAUCCUGUACAAUAUUAGUCUUCAAAUAUUCAGCUUUAUCAGUUCCCCCAUUCCUAAUCCAUCAUUAACCACCCCAUGAAGUCUCAGCUGAUUAGCCCCACCUCUGCAGCUCAGCAAACCAUUAACUAUUUAUUAUUUGUAUUUAAUUGAACAUCAGUAGCAGUAGAAAACUCCAACCAGACACACUUCAGAACCAGAACAAAGGAGAUGGUCCCCUGCCUAAGGAAUUCAUGUUUUGGACAAGACUGAAGUGCAGCAAAGAGGAAGUGACAGCUAUGCUGAACAAAGGCUUACCCAUGUACCCUCUAUUAAAUUCUGCACCCUACAAAUUUCUAGAUAUUUUAUGGAUUUAUUUUCAAUUAGUUCCAUCUCCUUAUCCCUUAGAAUCAGAGAAAAUGACAUGAUUUGGAUGGGUCCUGCAAGAAAAAAAAGGUAUUUUUUAUGUUAGGUGAAAAAUGGUUUAAAAAACUCUUUGAAAUCAUGGAACAGUUAUGAGGUAGUGAUAGAAACUAGGGGUUAUAGUCAUAGGAAACUGGCAAACAUACACAACAUGCACAUUUUAUGGGGACUUAAAUAAAUGAAUGGAAAUGGAUUUCUCAGUUAAAAUGCUUACUUCUUGGGGAUUAAAUAUAUGUAAUUUAUGAGGUGUUAUUUAUAUUUUGCUGCUUUCUAUUCACAUGCAUAAUCAAAACAUAGAUACAAUUCUAAUUUUUUUUUUUUUUUCUGCUAGUAGUCCUGGGUUUGGACACCUUUUUCUGUCUUUCUCUUUUUAUUACUUAGACUGGAAGCUAAGGCUAGCUGCACAUUUCCUCUGAAGUAAACUUUGUAGAAGAAAUCAGUGUCUUUGUUACCUCCACCUGGGUUUCUGUACCUUUCUAUUUGUGAGUUCCCUUUGAAACAUGCCUGAAAGAUCCAGUUCUCAAGAAAGUCACUACCCACUCCCUGAGCAAAGCUGCACAGCACGAGCACUCCACACCAGAGACUCAGCACUGGCUUGUUGUUUACUGAUCAACUUUAAAGCCCAGAGCACUGGAGGAAACAGUUUACUAAGGGACUUCUCUACCUCUGUGCCCACUCACUGCCCUGCUACCAGGUGGAGAGUAAUGUCAGUCUGGGAACCAAGCUCAAUAUGUGAAAGUGAACAUGGAUAAUACAGAAAAUGUUUUUUUCAAUUUGAGUUAGAAAACUCAAGUUAAAACCAUUUGAAUCCAUCCUUGUAAUUCAGUGUCUGAACAGAAUAAUGCAUUUUAAGUAGCACUGACUAAAUGGCUUUGAGGAAAUGAAAAAGCUAUCCAUCUAUAAUAUACUGUGCUAUCUGUAUGCUUUACCCCAGUCUAGGUAAAAGCUUCUGUUAAAAAUAGGUAUUUCCCAGUACUAUUCCCUCUGCCUUUGAAUUUAUUGUGAUGUCAAUCUAUUGGAGACAAAGAAUGAUGACUCUCAGGGUACAAGGGGUGAUGCAUUUAUAUUUACCUAGCACUUGACUCACUUGCAUUUGUUCUCCUUUUAAUCCCUGUAAUUAAAAUGCCUGCCUGCCUCUUCAGUAUGUGCUCUAAAAUAGUUUAUAUUUGGACAUCACAGCAAUCAUAGUUACUGCUGCAGAAGGACAAGAGGAAGAACAAUUGACUUAGGCCAGCACAGUUAAGUAACCUAUGGAAGGGAAAACAUAAGCUACUAAUGCAAAAUAGAAUAUGAGAGCAUUGAGUCAGAUGAAAGGAACACUUAAAGUAGUACAGCCCGUCUCGCACAAGAGCCAGAAUGAAAUUAUUAAGGCAAUAGAUGAGAAAUGACGCAAAUAUGGAGAAAUAAGUUCUGUGGUAUAUCCACCCAACUUACAGCUGACUGCACUUUGGAGACUUCUUGAGCCAGAUGCUCUGUCAAGUCUAUCAUGUUUUGUAAAUGAAAAUGGAGUGAUUUCUCAGAUCUUUCAAGUCUGGCUUUUCCAAGUUCUUCUUUGAAUCUGUUUGGACCUAUUUCCCUCCAAACAUCUUGUGGACACUGUGUUCCACAGUUUUUUUAAAUGUGUUCUGUGGAAGAACCCCACUUCAUUUAAUUUAUUUUAAGCUUCCUAUCUGCAGUCAGAACCAAUGAGGAAUGCCCAAACUAGUCUAAAAUAAUCUUGAACAACAUCUCCAUCCAUUUCUAUUUUAUUAGUUCCCUUCAUCUACCUUCCUUCCUCUGUAAUGCCCUCUUUCUUUUUUCCUAAUUUCUGGAGGGUGUCACAAGUUCUAAAGGCAUCUAAUUUACAAAUGCAUGCCUAUCACAUACCAAAAUUAAAAUGAUUGAAAGUACAGCAGUCCUUCAGGGGCAGAGUCUUCUGCAAUGAUGUCGCUUACUUGUAAGUUUAGUCUUGAACUUUGGUGCCUCAGUUGCUUUCUGAGCUCUUGAAUGACAGUGACCUGAUUUUCAGAGGUGCUUAGCACCCACCAGGUCUCCAAGGGAGCUGCAGGCACUCCACAAGCACAAGAGAACACUUUUAUGCAAAGCAUCUGCCUUACUCUGGGCACUCAAGUAUUAAAUUGUUACUCUGGAUUCAGCUUCACAGUGUAGUGACACAGGAAAUCGUUAGCCCUGGAGUGAAAUUAAGAACCUUAGGACCAUAAGUAAAACCCUUACUUAUGGUGAUUUAAGGUAAGUAGUACUCUUUAUUUAAAUAUUACUAAAUGUGAAUCUUCCCAUUUUUUUCAGGAUCAGUGGCAAAUGCUACAGAGGAGAAUCAUCCUACAGGUUUCACGUACUAUAAAUGUACAUAUUUGCUAUAUCAGGAGUCCUGCUGGAACAUCUGAUUUUCAGCUUUGUAUAUGUUUCCACAGUAAAACACCAAAACUUCAACUUACAUUUUCACCUGCACAAUCAUCUAAUAGAUACACUUUCCAUCUACCCUAUAAUUUUUUUUCUUUCUCUGUUCCUCUCUUGGAACUUGUUCAGACCUAUUCUCUAGCCAAAAGUGGGUGGGUUUUUUUCUCUUCAGUGUACUCCUCUUUGCAUUUCUUUCUGCUUUCACGCCACCUUUCUAUGUGUCAGCCUUGUUCCACUUCUUCUCCCUGGUGGCAUUCAGAACUCCUGCUACUUUCAUACACUCUCACCAUUUUAAGCUGCUUUCCCACAUGCUGCCUUUCACAGAACACCUUCCAUCCACUGAUUUCCAAAGCACAGAUGCUUGUUCGCUUUCCAUGAUGGCAACAACAGCUCUAAAGGAAACAUAUCGUUUCCCCUCCUGCAAUUCACGCACAAAUGCCUGGCAUGUGCUGCCUGGAGAAAGCCUUUCAACUUUGAAUUUCCUUGCUUUUGUGGAAUCUGUGAAAAAGUCUGAUAAAUUAAAGCUUUGGCAGUUAUUUCAAAUAACUUUAUUUGCAGCCAGCUGAGGCAAAAUCUGCCAAUGGUGCCAUCCCCGUGUUCUUUCAAAGGUUAUUGGUGUUUCAUGAGGGAGCUCAAAGUCAAGCUGGUUCAAAGGGAGGCUCACAUUUCAUUUUUUUCCAAGAAGGGUAGCUUACACGUUCUAAUGGUGACAGGAGGACUGUCUUACAAGACAUAAGAGCUGAGUUCUAGUUGAGGCCAUGACUCUCUUCCAAUACAUGUGUUUUGUCACUUUAUCUCUCGCCUGAUGAUUUCUCAUCUGUGAAACGGCUCUAAUGUUAAUGGCUGGUAGUUGUAAUAUUAGUUAACAACAGGCAAGAAGACACCAACUAAUCAUAUGGGUGGCAACAUUUUGGUGUUGGCCUUGGACCUGGUUUUAGUGUUGGCAGUGUGGGCAAAGCACACUGGAGUCUGCAGCUCCUCUCAGCAGGGCUCAAGAGACAUCAGCUGUGACACACAGCGUGCAGCAGGCAACUUCUCACAUUGUCCCGAAGGCCGAGAGUAAGAAAUAAUACAGAGCCUUGGCUUUGCAAGCCACUGCUGCCUGAGCUUCCAGGAACCACCGUGCACCUGGGGACCUCCAGUGAUACUCAGAAUAAACACCAGCAUGGCAGGGUUUGCCAUGUGCGUGAUCAGGAUUUCAGUGCAUGCUAAUGAAAAUAAGCAUGGUGUUCCUGACCCUCUACACCCAGAAGCUGUCCAAAGCCGAAGUCUCAUGGAAAGCCUUUGCUGAGCCAUCUAGGUGGAUAGAAGCUGUAUGUGACUGUUUCCCAUCUACACCCUAUGGUGACCUGAAAACAAAUGGUGAGAACAUGUCAAUUCUACUUUAACCAGUAGCACUGUGAAAAGAAAUCAGUAACUACACUUGACUUCAAGAAUCUUGGAUGAAGAAGGAUACAAACACUGAUCAUCUUUUAAGGCAAAAGAUCCUGCCUGUGUAGAGAAGGAUUCUCAGGACUGUCUUUGAGCAAAAUCUACUUAUGAACAGCCUCUAAUCGUCUAAGGAAGCUCUGGAUUGAGAUUAGUAUCCACAGCAGAAAGGAAUCUACAGACACUACUGUGUGCAAGUAAUGCUGUGGGCGUUCGUCCAAGCUCAGGAACGAGUGGAAUGUACCCCUUCUCCAAGAUACAGGUGAAAGACUGCAUAGACAUAUGUUUUCCACGGUGACUGGCAUUACCAAGCAACCUGAUGGAGAGCUGACAACACCUUGGCAAGCAGGGAAUAAUAAGGUAAAUUAUCGGCAAUAUUAAGAGAACCCAGUUACGAGCCUCACCUUUACUUUGGCCUGCGACGUCUGGGGCUGUUACUUGGGGAAAAAAAAAGAGAC
Molecule: non-coding RNA, 5512 nt
Organism: Taeniopygia guttata (zebra finch)
Lineage: Eukaryota; Metazoa; Chordata; Aves; Passeriformes; Estrildidae
Source: RefSeq, a predicted model, not a curated record